CGCGCGAGUUAUCAGCGGUCGACUUGCGAUUGUUAAAAAUUCUUUAGAUAAGAAGUAACUUGAUAAGGUGCGAAUAGUGUGUCUUAUAACGCCGUGUUUGUUUACCAAACUCUACCUUACAUCUUACUGACUGUAAGAAAAAACAUAUUUCACUUUACUUUACUUCUUCGUAUAUCAAGUAUACAAUAGUGGUUUAGAGGUCGCAAGAGCACAAUCGUUGUUAUUGCAACAGCUCUUUAUCGUUUAGAAUCGCGAAAGUGUGCACGAAUUAAUCACGCGAUCCAAGUUUAGAGACAGAAUUAUUAAUUUUUAGAUUUAAAACGGACAAAUUAAGUUUUAUUAAGUGCAGUGCGUAGAUGUCCAGUGCGGAGAAAAUGGCGGAUGGGUGAAGAGGCGAACAUCGGCGCAGAACAAGGAUGGAGCGGCUUGCGGCGCUUGCCCAAAUCGUCGACAUAAAAAAGAUUACCAAUAUUGAGGGAGUUCAAAAGCGAAGGAUGAUUUUCUUUGGCAGUUACAGCAUAUAUAAAGUUACAGCACUCGUUGUGCCUGGCAUUCCGAUAAGCUGUACACUGUUACAGCACUCGUUGUGCCCGGCAGUCCGAUAAGCUGUACACUGAUUCGUCCACUACAUGAUGCUGGAGCCGUCUUCUCCCGACACCGGGCCAUACUUUAAAGGAUCACGGGACUAUCACUGUGUAUAAGUGAGAUCCGGAAAUCUGUUGUCAGGUCCAACCAUCAUUAUUUUUUAUGUUCAUUUUCCUAAUGUUGUGUAUUGUAUUGUGUAGUAUCGAUGAUCCUGGGUUAAAAUCAUUUCAUUACAUUUUGUGACGUGUAAGAAAUCCUUUUAAAACUAACUCUUUCAAAUUUUGAAAUCUGUUUCAAGAGCGCAACAUGGAUGGCAGUGCGUCGGCGCUGCGAUUCACUUUACUCAGCCGCUACAAGCGACUCAACCGGUCCGUUCUUAUCUGUUGGCGUCAGUUGAUCCGCACUCGUUCGCGACCGUGCACGUUUGCGGCGGAUUGAAUUCGGUUACACGGUAUUCCAUAGCUCUUCAAGAAAUCGAGUUUUCGCGUGCAUUCUUUGAUUAAGUUAUCCGUAAUUAACACUCUAAACAUUGUAAUACAUUGAUGUAUUGUAUGUUAUAUGUUUAAAUGCAUGUUUUGGAACUAUUUAUCGGGUUCAACGAGCGUGGUGUCCUUGCAGAGUCCAUGCGAUUGCUAUAAGUGAACCCCGGAUCUUGCAGCGUGGUGUGGUUCCAGUCGCUUACGAUCUUCACGGCUCUUAGCGACGGCAUUUAGUACGACGUAGAAUGUGUUGUGCGAAUAAUUGUGCAUGUAAUUGAUUAAAAGUGGGAAUUAAGUAUUGCCCUGGUAGUGUGCAAGUGUGAUGUCGUCGGCCGUCGGAUAACUACAGAUUGCUAAGAAUCACAAUUGGAUUUAAUUUUCAGCCUGCUUGAAAUGGUUGCAACUACUUUCGUGUGCAGUAGGCGAUUGUGAGCGUGGGUAUAAUGUAGUUAAGUAAACUUUUUUAAAUACUUUAAACAGUUUGUCUGCUUAACACCGAAUUUAACGCAUUUCCUCUUUCCGACGGAAGUUGUUUGCGUGGUAGAAUCAUCGUUCAGCUAUAGUUCGUACAUCUAGAGUGAGUUUUUAAUUAUCAUUUCAUUUAUUAUCACUUUACACUUUAUCACUGUACACGCGUUUCUCGCGAUUUGCUACUCUUAUUCAAAUUUUAAUUCAUCGAGUUAUAAAUAUUCAUCUAUCGAUGGCAGUUAGUUGCAACCAGUGUUUUCCUGUCUAUUUUGCAUGCGUAGAAUUUUCGUGCUACAUAAUUUACAUGAUGUUAAAUAAAGGAUCAUGCAUUUUUUAACUUUUACCUGUACUCUUUGCAACUAGCGUAGUAUUGCUUCUCUUUUGCUAUUAGAUAUUCCGUUGUCCUUUAUAUUUACUUUUUAUAUGUAGUUAUCUGCCUUUGGCACACCCGGUCUAUUAGUUUCACUUAAAAUCACGUGAAAAUGCUUGAAGUUGAAGUUUUUGUGAGUUUUUCUUGUGGAAUUUUGAGAUUUCCAUUUUGUGAGACCGUGUAGAUUAGUUUUUCGUAUUCUAUAGUAAAAAUGGUAAAACUACUAGUAUUCUUUUACUUUUACUUUGGAUUUUCUUUGUAUGUGCUAUUUUUGUAAUUCAUCUUGUGAUUUUCUUUUUGUGACACCCUGUAUAUUGGUUUCUUCAAUUUUCCUAUGAAAAAAUAGGCGACAUUUAUGGUAUUCGAGUGUUUUCUUAUUUUAGCCUGUGAUUUCCUUUUUGUGACACCCUGUAUAUUAAUUUUCUCAGUUUUCCUAUGGAAAAAUGGGCUACAUUUAUUGUAUUCAAGUGUUUUCUUAUUUUAGCCUGUGAUUUUCUUUGUGUGACACCCUGUAUAUUUGUUUCCUACGUUUUCCCAUGAAAAAUGGGCGACGUGAAUGAUUUUGGAGUGUUUCCGUAUUUUGGCCUGUGAUUUGUAACACUCAGUAUAAUAGUUUCCUAAAUUUUCCUGGGAUAUCAGAUAAAAUGUAUGGUUUUUGAGUGUUGUACUGCUUCAACAUUGAAUUGUCGUUUUUUAUACGUAAUUGUUCUCAUUUUCUAACGCUCACUAUGUUAGCUACUUUAUACAUCCAGCGAAAAUAUUAAAAAUGGCGAUGUAUUGUAUUAUAAAUUUUUAUUGUACUGCAUUUCAAAUACAUCAUGUGUUUAAAUAAAACGAACUAUACAUGUACUGGCUUGUAUGUGUGCGGCUUAGCAGGUCGUAAGUCCUGUUUCAAUAUGGCGACAUGUAUUCUGUUGACUUGUAAAGUCUAAACUUGUAUUCUAUUGUUAAUAAAGAAACAGUAAGAUAUA
This is a long non-coding RNA of Dalotia coriaria, 2873 nucleotides long. RefSeq lists it as uncharacterized. Lineage: Eukaryota; Metazoa; Arthropoda; Insecta; Coleoptera; Staphylinidae. The transcript is spliced from 6 exons. The record is from RefSeq and is a predicted model, not a curated record.